Molecule: ribosomal RNA, 250 nt
Filed under: uncultured prokaryote
Description: partial 16S ribosomal RNA
Rfam family: Bacterial small subunit ribosomal RNA
Source: RNAcentral
UACGGGGGAUGCAAGCGUUGUCCGGAAUCAUUGGGCGUAAAGAGUUCGUAGGUGGCACGUUAAGUUUGGUGUUAAAUCCAGAGGCUCAACUUCUGUAUGGCACCGGAUACUGGCGAGCUUGAAUGCGGUAGAGGUAAAGGGAAUUCCUGGUGUAGCGGUGAAAUGCGUAGAUAUCAGGAGGAACAUCGGUGGCGAAAGCGCUUUACUGGGCCGUAAUUGACACUGAGGAACGAAAGCCGGGGUAGCAAAU